GCAUAUCAAUAAGCGGAGGAAAAGAAACCAACAGGGAUUGCCCCAGUAACGGCGAGUGAAGCGGCAACAGCUCAAAUUUGAAAUCUGGCCUUCGGGUCCGAGUUGUAAUUUGGAGAGGAUGCUUCUGGCGCGGCGCCGUCCGAGUUCCUUGGAACAGGACGCCAUAGAGGGUGAGAGCCCCGUACGGGCGGCCGCCUAGCCUUUGUGAAGCUCCUUCGACGAGUCGAGUAGUUUGGGAAUGCUGCUCAAAAUGGGAGGUAAAUUUCUUCUAAAGCUAAAUACCGGCCAGAGACCGAUAGCGCACAAGUAGAGUGAUCGAAAGAUGAAAAGCACUUUGAAAAGAGGGUUAAAAAGUACGUGAAAUUGUUGAAAGGGAAGCGCCUGUGACCAGACUUGCGGCCCGCGGAUCAUCCGGUGUUCUUCACCGGUGCACUCCGCGGGCUGCAGGCCAGCAUCGGUUUUCCUAGGGGGACAAAGGUCGCGGGAACGUAGCUCUUUCGGGAGUGUUAUAGCCCGUGGCGUCAUGCCUCUGGGGGGACCGAGGACCGCGCUUCGGCAAGGAUGCUGGCGUAAUGGUCACCGGCGACCCGUCUUGAAACACGGACCAAGGAGUCAAGCAUUGGGGCGAGUGUCUGGGUGCCAAACCCGCACGCGAAAUGAAAGUAAACGCAGGUGAGAGCUUCGGCGCAUCACCGACCGAUCCUGAUGUCUUCGGAUGGAUUUGAGUAAGAGCCUUACCGCUUGGACCCGAAAGAUGGUGAACUAUGCCUGUAUAGGGUGAAGCCAGAGGAAACUCUGGUGGAGGCUCGCAGCGGUUCUGACGUGCAAAUCGAUCGUCAAAUAUGGGCAUGGGGGCGAAAGACUAAUCGAACCAUCUAGUAGCUGGUUACCGCC
This 894-nucleotide ribosomal RNA is filed under the name Ophiostoma tapionis. Its description in RNAcentral is "LSU rRNA". It matches the Rfam family "Eukaryotic large subunit ribosomal RNA", at positions 38 to 962 of the family's 3401-position model. Lineage: Eukaryota; Fungi; Ascomycota; Sordariomycetes; Ophiostomatales; Ophiostomataceae. The record is from RNAcentral.